UACGUAGGGCGCAAGCGUUGUCCGGAAUUAUUGGGCGUAAAGAGCUCGUAGGCGGCUUGUCACGUCGGGUGUGAAAACCCGGGGCUCAACCCCGGGCCUGCAGUCGAUACGGGCGAGCUAGAGUUCGGCAGGGGAGACUGGAAUUCCUGGUGUAGCGGUGAAAUGCGCAGAUAUCAGGAGGAACACCGGUGGCGAAGGCGGGUCUCUGGGCCGACACUGACGCUGAGGAGCGAAAGCGUGGGGAGCGAACAGG
Molecule: ribosomal RNA, 253 nt
Filed under: uncultured bacterium
Lineage: Bacteria
Description: partial 16S ribosomal RNA
Rfam family: Bacterial small subunit ribosomal RNA
Source: RNAcentral